UACGGGGGGGAGCAAGCGUUGUUCGGAUUUACUGGGCGUAAAGGGCGCGUAGGCGGUCAGCACAAGUCAGUUGUGAAAUCUCCGGGCUUAACUCGGAAAGGUCAACUGAUACUGUGCGACUAGAGUGCAGAAGGGGCAACUGGAAUUCUCGGUGUAGCGGUGAAAUGCGUAGAUAUCAGGAGGAACACCAAUGGCGAAGGCAGAUCUCUGGGCCGUAACUGACGCUGAGGAGCGAAAGCAUGGGGAGCGAACAGG
This 255-nucleotide ribosomal RNA is filed under the name uncultured bacterium. RNAcentral's name for it is "partial 16S ribosomal RNA". It matches the Rfam family "Bacterial small subunit ribosomal RNA", at positions 524 to 776 of the family's 1533-position model. The record is from RNAcentral.